RNAcentral lists this ribosomal RNA (468 nucleotides) under uncultured bacterium. RNAcentral's name for it is "partial 16S ribosomal RNA". It matches the Rfam family "Bacterial small subunit ribosomal RNA", at positions 28 to 507 of the family's 1533-position model. The record is from RNAcentral.
GACGAACGCUGGCGGCGCGCUUAACACAUGCAAGUCGAACGGAAAGGCCCUGCUUUUGUGGGGUGCUCGCGUGGCGAACGGGUGAGUAGCACGUGAGUAACCUGCCCUUGACUUUGGGAUAACUUCAGGUAACUGUGGCUAAUACCGGAUAGGAGCUCCUGCUGCAUGGUGGGGGUUGGAAAGUUUCGGCGGUUGGGGAUGGACUCGCGGCUUAUCAGCUUGUUGGUGGGGUAGUGGCUUACCAAGGCUUUGACGGGUAGCCGGCCUGAGAGGGUGACCGGCCAGAGUGGGACUGAGGUACGGCCGAGAAUCCUACUGGAGGCAGCAGUGGGGAAUAGUGGCCAAUGGGCUGAAGCCUGAUGCAGCAACGCCGCGUGCGGGAUGACGGCCUUCGGGUGGUAAACCGCUUUCGCCUGUGACGAAGCGUGAGUGACGGUAAUGGGUAAAGAAGCACCGGCUAACUACGUG